This is a small nuclear RNA of Cavia porcellus (domestic guinea pig), 107 nucleotides long. Lineage: Eukaryota; Metazoa; Chordata; Mammalia; Rodentia; Caviidae. The record is from Ensembl.
GUGCUGUCUUUGGCAGCACAUUUACUAAAAUUGGAACAAUACAAAGAAGAUUGGCAUGGCCCCCGAGCAAAGAUGACACAAAAAUUCAUGAAGUUUUCCAUAUUUUU